RNAcentral lists this long non-coding RNA (2378 nucleotides) under Gossypium raimondii (Peruvian cotton). RNAcentral describes it as "long non-coding RNA (GRAI_LNC005985)". The record is from RNAcentral. Lineage: Eukaryota; Viridiplantae; Streptophyta; Magnoliopsida; Malvales; Malvaceae.
CUUCAUAGUUGCUGCCAAAUUUUGAAAGACACCAUAGCUAGGGUUCUUUGCUUUCUCAAGCUCAUAGUAAGUGCAUCCUAGCCCCGUUUUUAAUGUUCUUCGCAUUUUUGAAAUCCUCGUAGCUCGGUUUAGCUUAUUUUAUCAAUAAUUCAUGUUAGGAUUCAUAUUUGGAAAAAUACCCAUAUGUGAAAAGUGUUUAUUUUUCUGUUUUAUGGUUAAAUAUGAAGCUAGAAAUUAUGUUAAACAACUUUUGCUAAGCGAUUUUAAACGAAAACGGGUAAAUUGACAUAAUUGGUAAAAAUACCUAAUGUUCAAAAGUGUGUGUUAGAGUGAGAAUUUGAUGUUGUCAUAGAAGGGAAAAAUGUUCAGCAUGUCAUAAAACAUAAGAAUAAGUGAUGAAGUUUAAUUUCCGAGCUAGGGACAAAAGUGUAAUUAUGCAAAAGUGAGAGGGCAAAAUUGUAAUUUUCAAAAAGUUGGGUGGUGGAUUAUUUUAAUAAAUGUGAACAUUAAAUGAGUUAAAUUUGCCAUUAUAGAUCAAGAAAAAUGAGAAGACUACCGCAAACGGGGAAAAGAGAAGAUAGUGGAGUAAAUUGCAAAAUUUCGAUAUUUUGCACCGAGGUAAGUAAACAUGUGAUUUAAUGCAUUAUUUUGACAUUAUUUGAUAUAUGUUGAGAUUUAUUGGAACAUAGAAUAAAUAUUUGAUAAAAAUUCUAAAAAUGUGGUUAAGUUGGGAAAUGUGGUAAAGUGUGGAAAAUAUGGGUUUCGGUUGAACACUCGGAAUAAGCCGGAGUUCAUUGAAUACAAAGGGGGUUGCUAAGUGCUGAUUCCCCCAAAGGGGUUGCUAAGUGCUGAUUCCCCGACUCAUUGGUGGUUGCUAAGUGCUGAUUCCACCGUAUUUUAAAUUUGAAUGGGGUUGCUAAGUGCUGAUUCCCCGACUAUUUGGUGGUUGCUAAGUGCUGAUUCCACCAUAUCCUUGAAUGUGAAAGGGGUUGCUAAAUGCUGAUUCCCCGAAUCACUAGUGGUUGCUAAGUGCUGAAUCCACCGAUAACGGUUAACAUUCCGAGUGUUCAACGAGUAAAUUGGGAAGGUGAAUAUUUAUAUAUAUAUGGUGGACAAGUUUAUGGGAGGAAUAUCGGGUUUGAUACUUAAUCAACCCAUGUACAAGAUGUGAGGAAAUAUCAAAAGUACAAAAGAAACAAUUUUAAUAUAAAACUGUUUUGAAUAACAGCAGUUGGGAAACUUUGAAAAAUCACCAUAAAUGGUGGAAAGUGAAUUGGAGGUUUAGUAAUAUAUGAAAUUAAAGCUGAGUGAGUCUAUUUUCAUAUGAAAGAAACAGAGCAAGCAAAAGAGUUGUAUAUUUGGGGAUAUUUGAAUUUAUUUGAGACAGGGCUGGAUUGAUUUCGAAAUCCCCUGUUCCAACUUUGGAAAAUCACCAAAAAUUGUACAAAAAUAAUUAUGGCUUGAAAUUUAUAUGCAGGGAUUCCUUAAUGAGUCUAUUUUUAAUAGAAACAAACGAGAAGAUUGUUUGAAUUUUGUACAGGGAGUUAAGUGAAUUUUAGUAAGGAGAGGUCAGGACUGUCGGGCAGUGAAACAGGGGAAAAUUUAAAGAAUAAACUGUACUGAUUGGCCAAACCAAAAAUUCUGAAAAUUUUAUGGUGGAAAUUUAUAUGAAUCUAGUUUUGGGGAAAAUUUACGGAAUUCAAUUUGGAGCCCUGUAGCUCCGGAUAAAAAUAAAUUAGUGACUAUGACGCAGAAAAAUAGCUUGCUGGAAAUUGAACAAAUUAUGAAAUUUAUUUGUGAUUAAAAUUAUACUAUGGUGUAAUCAUGUGAGAAAUUGAUUUAUCUGUCAUAUGUUUACUUACUAAGCUAUAUGCUUACUCGUUUCUUUUUAUUCUCCCCUUGAUUAUAGUGACAUCAAUCAUCUCGGAACUUGGGCGGAGUCAUAUAAUCAUCCACACUAUCAUCAACAUUUGGGUAUUUUGCAACUCAUAUUUCGGAAACAUGGCAUGUAUAGACGACUUUAUGUACUGUGGUGUAAACAAAUAUAUAUAUAUGUGUUUCGGUUUAAAAUGUAGGUGUUCAUUAUUAAAUAAAUUGUGUUUGAUCAUACAACUAUUUUUGGUUGGAUUAUUAUAUCUGUUUGAAAGUGUGAUUGAAAACUUGCAGGGGGUUGUAUGUAAAAACAAGCAGAAAUGCUGUCGAAAAUUUUUAAAAAAAAUUUAGUAAUAUCUCAUACUCUGUUCCGUUAAGGAAUACGAGUAAGGGGUGUUACAAUAAUUGCUCGAAUAAGUCACUCUGUUAAAAAUUUCGUUCAUCCACUAGCAGAUUGCUAACGUGGUAUUUACUAAAGCUAGGGACCUCUCUGUAAUUAGUUCAAG